Molecule: RNA transcript, 4173 nt
Organism: Pseudophryne corroboree (corroboree frog)
Lineage: Eukaryota; Metazoa; Chordata; Amphibia; Anura; Myobatrachidae
Gene name: bifunctional heparan sulfate N-deacetylase/N-sulfotransferase 4-like
Exons: 15
Source: RefSeq, a predicted model, not a curated record
GGAGUUUUUAAUAAAUCACUCUGGUGUGAGAGGAAUGCAGCUGAUCUCUGAAUUAGCCACUGUUGGAAUAGAUCCAUGUGUUACAUCCCACUAUCUGGAUGACAUCACAACAGCUUCUAGUCCUUGAGAGUCCUGAGGGUGAUCAGCUGAAGGAAUUGGCUGCUUCUGCCAAUCAUAAUACUGCAAAGAUGCUUGCCGUUCCAGUUCAGAUGAUAAGACAGAGCAGCGAGGAGAGCACUGACUAUAGCAGCCCAUCAAGACGUACAGUAGCAAGGGGAGAGGCAGUCAGCAGCUGGUGUUCGUGAGAUUAAAUAGUUUUCAUAGCAAUGUUUUGUGUGUGCUGUUCCCUGAAUUCUCCCUGGUGAAAUCCUCAUGUCCAAGAAGGAAGGUGCAUUUUAUAGUGCUUCGCACAGAGGUGUGAAUCAUUCCAGCUGGCUGCAUGGCUAGAAAACGGCACACAGUGACUGCAUGUAUGUCUAUUCCUGCUGGUAUAUAACAGAGGGGGCUCUGCUGUAAGGAGUUCAGUUUCUUUGCUGGCUGACUUGGCUACUGAUUCAGCAGAUGGUGAGACCUGACAGGUAACCCUAACUCCUCUGUUCCCGGUUACGUGUUCCUGUGGAGGCUGCAAAGCAUCUAGCGAAGAAGAAGAGACGGACGUUGUUUUUUCAGGUGAUGAUAAACAAUUACUUUGGCUGUCAGGAAAUUCUGGAUGAAAGACUUGUCUAUUGUACAGACGCAUAUUCAUACAUAUCCCUGGUUCAACUUGUUUGAUUGCCUCUACUAUAACUGAAGUGCAAUGGUCACAUAAGUAUUUGCAGAGGAGUGCAAGCUCACUUUCAUUUUCAACUCAUAUGAUCACUUUAAGAUGAAAUAAGGGGAGAGGCAUUUCAAAUUUUGAAGAUAAAAACCCCAAACCAUGAAUCAUUUUGUUAAGUUGCGAAGGAGCUUCCGAACACUAGUAAUUCUUUUAGCCACAUUCUGCCUUGUAAGUAUAGUGAUUUCCGCUUACUAUUUGUAUUCUGGCAACAAACAGGCAAUAGUACUUGUUGAAACAACAAAGCAAGCUGAUUUUGAGGAUAUAAACUUAUUACCAUACCGAGCAAUGGAAACGAAGACCACUAAAUCAAUCGAUAUUGCAAAGACAGAUCUCACAGUGUUAGUCUUUGUGGAGAGUCAGUACUCUCAGCUUGGACAGGACAUUGUAGCAAUUCUAGAGUCCAGCAGAAUUCAUCAUCAAAUAGUAAUUGCACCCACAAAAGGAGACAUUCCUCCUCUUACAAAAGAUGGCAAAGGCAAAUAUGCAAUUAUUGUGUAUGAAAAUAUAUUAAAGUAUGUAGCAAUGGACUCAUGGAAUCGAGAACUUUUAGAAAAAUACUGCGUUGAAUAUAGUGUUAGCAUCAUUGCAUUCCAUAAAGCUACUGAAAACAGCUUGCCAAGUACCAAAUUAAAAGGUUUUCCUCUUGUUCUCUACAACAAUGUAGCUCUUAAAGACUGUUUUGUAAAUUCAAACUCCCCUUUGCUGCACAUAACAAAAGCUUCAACAGUUGAAAAGGGUCCUUUGCCUGGAGAAGACUGGACCGUAUUCCAAUACAACCACUCCACAUACCAACCAGUGAUUUUAUCUGAACUGCAAACACAGGAACAACAUGAAAACUCUUUAUCCAGAUCUUCCCACCAUGCCACCAUAAUCCAGGACUUAGGUCUUCACGAUGGGAUUCAACGAGUUUUGUUUGGCAACAAUUUGAAUUUUUGGUUGCACAAGUUAAUUUUUGUAGAUGCUAUAUCUUUUCUGUCUGGGAAGAAGCUUAGUUUAUCAUUGGACAGAUACAUUCUUGUUGACAUAGAUGAUAUUUUCGUUGGAAAGGAAGGCACUAGGAUGAAUGUAAAUGAUGUUAAGGUAUUACUAGAUACACAAAAAUUACUGCGCACUCAGGUUGCAAAUUUCACCUUCAAUCUUGGAUUUUCAGGGAAGUUUUAUCACACAGGUUCUAUUGAGGAGGAUAAAGGAGAUGACCUUUUGUUGUCCUCAGUGCAUGAGUUUUGGUGGUUCCCUCACAUGUGGAGUCAUAUGCAGCCUCAUCUUUUUAAUAAUGAGUCCUCCUUGGUGGAACAAAUGAUUUUAAACAUGGAGUUUGCGCAGGAACAUGGCAUUCCAACAUACAUGGGUUAUGCUGUGGCUCCACAUCACUCAGGUGUCUAUCCCGUACAUGUGCAGCUAUAUGAAGCCUGGAAGAGGGUAUGGAGCAUUAGAGUUACAAGCACAGAAGAAUAUCCUCACUUGAAACCUGCACGAUACAGACGGGGUUUUAUACACAAUGGCAUAAUGGUUUUGCCUCGGCAAACUUGUGGUUUGUUCACACAUACAAUGUUCUACAAGGAGUAUCCUGGUGGACCAAGUGAACUGGACAAAAGUAUUAGAGGAGGAGAGCUCUUCUUAACCGUGCUACUAAACCCUAUCAGCAUCUUUAUGACACACUUGUCUAAUUAUGGGAAUGACCGCCUUGGCUUGUACACCUUUGUUAAUCUUGCUAAUUUUGUACAAACCUGGACCAAUUUAAAGCUGCAGACUCUGCCUCCGUUGCAGCUGGCUCACAAAUAUUUUGAACUCUUCCCUGAGCAAAAGGAUCCGCUUUGGCAGAAUCCAUGUGAUGACAGAAGACACAGAGACAUCUGGUCUAGAGACAAAACCUGUGAACGCCUACCAAAAUUUCUUCUGAUAGGACCUCAAAAAACUGGCACAACAGCACUUUACUUAUUUCUACUAAUGCACCCCUACAUCAUUAGCAACAUUCCUAACCCAAAGACCUUCGAGGAAGUGCAAUUCUUUAAUGGCAACAACUAUCACAAAGGAAUUGACUGGUAUAUGGAUUUUUUCCCUUAUCCAUCGAACACAACUUCGGAUUUCCUAUUUGAAAAAAGUACUAAUUAUUUUCAUACAGAGGAAGUACCCCAGAGAGUUGCUGCACUCUUACCAAAAGCAAAGAUCAUCACCAUUCUCAUUGAUCCAUCUGACAGAGCAUACUCGUGGUACCAGCAUCAACGAUCUCAUGCUGAUCCCACUGCUCUGAAAUUUAGCUUCUAUGAAGUGAUAACUGCCGAUCGUAAAGCUUCCUUGGAGUUACAGACCCUGCAGAAAAGAUGCCUUGUGCCUGGCUUAUAUUCUACACACAUAGAACGAUGGUUAAAUUAUUUUACAUCUUCACAGCUGUUAAUUAUAGAUGGACAACAUCUGAGGAAUGAACCAGCUAUUGUAAUGGAUGAAGUGCAGUCCUUUUUAGGAGUUUUUCCUCAUUAUAAUUACUCAGAAACGCUAACAUUCAGUACAGAAAAGGGCUUCUGGUGCCAAUUGUUGGAUGGUGGAAAAACAAGAUGCCUCGGGAAAAAUAAGAGUCGCAAGUACACAUCUUUGGAUAUGGAGUCUAGAACUUUUCUUUCAAGCUAUUACCAGGACCACAACAUUGAAUUGUCCAGACUUCUACACAGACUGGGGCAACCUUUACCAUCCUGGCUGAGACAGGAGCUGCAGAAAGUGAGAUAGCAUUGAAGACAUGGACUAAUGCAGAAUUGCAGCCUUGUGGUUUCUCCACUAAGAAAAAUUAAAUAAAAAGUCCCUUCACUCACACUUAACAGUUACCAGUAAUGAUCCCCAAAUAACUCACAAAACCAAGGACAUUUAUUUAUGCACGAGGUGCUAUUUAUCUGCACUGUUACUGUUAGACAUAUCUCAGCAUCGAGGCUGAGUAUUACUAUAUUAUAAAAAAUAUUAUCCUACAUUUAAUGUGGGACUCAUAUUUCACUUUUUUCCUUUGAUAACAAGAAACUUCAAGUAACUUUUUUAUGAUUGGAAUUCUUCAUUUAAUACAACAUGCACUACUGUCUGAGAAAACCAAAGCAAAGAGCAGGAGUAGCUUGCAGUGGAAUUGAAGUGCUUUGACGUAAGGAGGACAUCAACAUGUGGGCUUAGCUAACACUAAAGAAGAAAAUGAAGUCUUCAACUACAUGAAAACCACUCACUGCUGUACAAAACCCCUCUUUUGAUCAGUUUACAUAAAGUAAAUUAAAUACUAUAAAAAUACUAUGCGUUUCCACUGAGAUAUAUUUAUUUUUAUUGAAAAUGUAACUUAUAUGUAUGUGUUAUAUAUAGAGAGUUUAUCCAUACAAAAAGAAAAUGAA